Molecule: ribosomal RNA, 253 nt
Filed under: uncultured bacterium
Lineage: Bacteria
Description: partial 16S ribosomal RNA
Rfam family: Bacterial small subunit ribosomal RNA
Source: RNAcentral
UACGGGGGGGGCAAGCGUUGUUCGGAAUUACUGGGCGUAAAGGGCUCAUAGGCGGCCAACUAAGUCAGACGUGAAAUCCCUCGGCUUAACCGGGGAACUGCGUCUGAUACUGGAUGGCUUGAGAUUGGGAGAGGGAUGCGGAAUUCCAGGUGUAGCGGUGAAAUGCGUAGAUAUCUGGAGGAACACCGGUGGCGAAGGCGGCAUCCUGGACCAACACUGACGCUGAGGAGCGAAAGCCAGGGGAGCAAACGGG